AGAGUUUGAUCAUGGCUCAGAUUGAACGCUGGCGGCAUGCCUUACACAUGCAAGUCGAACGGCAGCAUGAUCUAGCUUGCUAGAUUGAUGGCGAGUGGCGAACGGGUGAGUAAUACAUCGGAACGUGCCCUGUAGUGGGGGAUAACUAGUCGAAAGAUUAGCUAAUACCGCAUACGACCUGAGGGUGAAAGUGGGGGACCGCAAGGCCUCAUGCUAUAGGAGCGGCCGAUGUCUGAUUAGCUAGUUGGUGAGGUAAAGGCUCACCAGGGCGACGAUCAGUAGCUGGUCUGAGAGGACGAUCAGCCACACUGGGACUGAGACACGGCCCAGACUCCUACGGGAGGCAGCAGUGGGGAAUUUUGGACAAUGGGCGAAAGCCUGAUCCAGCAAUGCCGCGUGUGUGAAGAAGGCCUUCGGGUUGUAAAGCACUUUUGUCCGGAAAGAAAUGGCUCUGGUUAAUACCUGGGGUCGAUGACGGUACCGGAAGAAUAAGGACCGGCUAACUACGUGCCAGCAGCCGCGGUAAU
This 527-nucleotide ribosomal RNA is filed under the name uncultured bacterium. RNAcentral describes it as "bacterial SSU rRNA". It matches the Rfam family "Bacterial small subunit ribosomal RNA", at positions 8 to 524 of the family's 1533-position model. The record is from RNAcentral.